This 470-nucleotide ribosomal RNA is filed under the name uncultured bacterium. RNAcentral describes it as "bacterial SSU rRNA". It matches the Rfam family "Bacterial small subunit ribosomal RNA", at positions 328 to 793 of the family's 1533-position model. The record is from RNAcentral.
CUCUGUGACUCCUACGGGAGGCAGCAGUGGGGAAUAUUGCACAAUGGGCGCAAGCCUGAUGCAGCCAUGCCGCGUGUGUGAAGAAGGCCUUCGGGUUGUAAAGCACUUUCAGUUGUGAGGAAGGUGGUGUCGUUAAUAGCGGCAUCAUUUGACGUUAGCAACAGAAGAAGCACCGGCUAACUCCGUGCCAGCAGCCGCGGUAAUACGGAGGGUGCGAGCGUUAAUCGGAAUUACUGGGCGUAAAGCGCAUGCAGGUGGUUGUUAAGUCAGAUGUGAAAGCCCGGGGCUCAACCUCGGAACUGCAUUUGAAACUGGCAGACUAGAGUACUGUAGAGGGGGUAGAAUUUCAGGUGUAGCGGUGAAAUGCGUAGAGAUCUGAAGGAAUACCGGUGGCGAAGGCGGCCCCCUGGACAGAUACUGACACUCAGAUGCGAAAGCGUGGGGAGCAAACAGGAUUAGAUACCCUGUAG